CACUGGGUGACUGAAAGUAAGUGUAGGUCUUUUAAACCUAUCAUAGUAGAUUAACGAAAACUCCCAAUGA
Molecule: transfer RNA, 70 nt
Filed under: Synalpheus microneptunus
Lineage: Eukaryota; Metazoa; Arthropoda; Malacostraca; Decapoda; Alpheidae
Description: tRNA-Lys
Source: RNAcentral